UAUUUUAUUUUGAAUCUUAGAGACAACCUUGGAAGACUGGUACAGGCUGGAAUUGAAAUUGCAAACCUAUUUCUGAAUAAAGGGGAGACAAUCAUAUACACAGUUGGGAGGGAUCCACAGUACCAGAAUAAUGUUGUUGCUGAUACUGCCCCGUUGGUUACAUUGCCCGUCGUCGUAUGCACUUUUGCUUCAU
Hibiscus syriacus is the source of this 193-nucleotide long non-coding RNA. RefSeq lists it as uncharacterized. The transcript has 3 exons. The record is from RefSeq and is a predicted model, not a curated record. NCBI's taxonomy places the organism in Eukaryota, Viridiplantae, Streptophyta, Magnoliopsida, Malvales, Malvaceae.